GUGGUGCACUGGUAAAGCACUUGGCUGCUAACCAAAAGGUCAGUGGUUCUAAUCCACUC
RNAcentral lists this transfer RNA (59 nucleotides) under Loxodonta africana (African savanna elephant). It matches the Rfam family "tRNA", at positions 7 to 64 of the family's 71-position model. Rfam says of the family: Transfer RNA (tRNA) molecules are approximately 80 nucleotides in length. The record is from Rfam by way of RNAcentral. Lineage: Eukaryota; Metazoa; Chordata; Mammalia; Proboscidea; Elephantidae.